This 4912-nucleotide unclassified non-coding RNA is filed under the name Polistes dominula (European paper wasp). Its description in RNAcentral is "uncharacterized LOC107074386, transcript variant X1". Lineage: Eukaryota; Metazoa; Arthropoda; Insecta; Hymenoptera; Vespidae. The record is from RNAcentral.
AGAGAGAAAGGGAAAGGGAAAGGAAAAGAGAGAUAGAGAUAGUGUAUAGAUAUAGAAAAAGAAGGGAGAGGAUAGUGGGGCGGAAAUUGAUGUGGGUUUUAUAAGUGCGGUGAUUUCAUACGCCUACCUUUCCAAGUAACCCAUUUUAUCUCUGUCUCGUUCUACCAUCUCAGUUUUCAGUGUCUUUCGUUUAGUGGUAUCCGCUUAGCGGAUAGAUGUCAUAUCCAUGAGCCAGGUUGCCUUCUUGAAAGGUGCAUGUCUACAUUCCAUGUGUCGACACGCUGCAUUUCCGCGGCUAAAAUCGCAAGCGCAUACGGCGAUAGAUCGUACUAAGAGAAAACUCGUUUACAGCGCAGGUACUACACGGAUACGACGAUUUUAGAAUCGGUCUCUAAACUAGAGAAAGAAGAGGAAGAAGAAGAGAACGACGCGAUUAUGUGUGUCAUGAAAUUGGAACGUAGUAGCUUAUAAAAGCUUUAUACUUGAUUAAAUGGACGUAGAUGUAGAAUGUUCAAUAUGACGUAGCUUAUUUAAAAAGAUAUUCAAAAAGCCUCGGUGCGCAAUGCGACAUUUACGUAAAAUAUAUUGGCUAUUUUGGGUGGGUCUACCAACACUCACAGCAUAUCCUCUAUCAACGCCGUAUUUAACAGAUUCGCAAAACGAUCAAGAAUCAUUACAAUGGGAACGUUAUUGGAUAAGAUAUACGGUUACUCUUUUGAGUUUAACCAUUGCUGCUUUUGCUAUCAUUGGAUGUUUAUGCUGCAGAAGACCAAGGCGUACUAUUGGAUUUCAGGACAAAGCAGGAAAAUGUAAACAGGAAUUCAAGAAUGGAAGCAGCACAGGCCCAGAGUUACCAUUUGAACAAUCAGUAGAAGGUUUAGCGAUAGAUGUUCCACGAAUGAUAGCAUUGACAGACAGAGUACAAUUUGAACCUCUACCAGUUGACCGAAUUGUAUCAGGACCAAAGGUUCCUUCUCCAACAAAACCAUCUUCCAUUUCACAUUUAUCUUUUACGGGAGAAUUUAAUGAAGAUAAUGCUAUGUUACAAAAGCCUUGUAAGGAAUGGUUCGAAGCUGAAGAUCUUUAUGUACCUAGAGAAAAAUUAAAAUAUUUAAGAGAACUAGGACGUGGUUGGUUUGGCAAAGUUGUAGAAGGUCGUGCAGAUUUAGAUCAAUCGAAAGGAGCAUUGAAAAAUGGUGGGGUUGUUGUAAGAAUUUUGGCAGAAGAAGCUACGAUGAAAGAGAAAGCUUGGUUCCUAGGAGAAGCUACACCAUAUCUUAAAUUACACCAUCAAAAUGUUUUAGCAUUACUUGGUUUUUGUUUAGAAACUGAUCCAUAUUUAUUAUUAUUUGAGUCUUGUCCUGCUGGUGAUCUUAAAGGAUUUUUAUUAUCAAAUCAUGAUAAAAAAUCUCAAGAAGCAUUAUUAAAAGAAAAUGUUCCCACUAGAAUGGCAUUGGAAAUAGCUGCUGGUUUACAACAUAUGCACAAUCAUGGUUUUGCUCAUACCGAUUUAUCGGCAAGAAAUUGUUUGGUUGCUCCAGAUUUAUCUGCAAAAUUAGGAGAUUAUGGAACUGGUGUUGAAAAAUAUCCUGAGGAUUAUUACAUUGUUGGAGAUCGUGCUUUACCUAUUAGAUGGUCCGCACCUGAGAGUUUAGACUGUACUGAUACUACUAUUGAAACUCGUCAAAUUACAUUACAAGCAAACAUAUGGAAUUAUGCUGUACUCUUAUGGGAAAUUAUUAACUGGGGUAAUAGACCUUAUGAUAAUAUGUGCGACGAGGAAGUUAUACAAAUGCUUUUAUCUCUUAAAACUGAUUUUUCACUAAACAAUGUGCAACCAUUGCAUAACUGUCCUGAAAAUAGUCCCUCCAAUAUAUUACACGUAAUACGCACAUGUCUAAAUACAGAUGCAAAAAAGAGGCCUUCUUUAAAUGACAUAAGACAAAAUUUACUUACCGAACAUAUAGAACAAGAAGAUUUUGAACAAUGGGAAAAUUUACAACAAACAAAUACAUCAAUUAAUCAUACACGAAGUGCUAGUUUACAAAAUCUUCGUGGCAGUAUUGAUUCUGAUCAUUGGACAAGUGUGAUCAAUGAGAAACCAUUAGAAACAUUACAAUCUUCUUUUCGACUUGGACCAGAUGAACCGGUUAAAAAUGUUAUGAAAGUGGACAAUUUAUUUAAUACAACACAAGAAUCAGGAUCUGAAACUGAAGAAGAAAGUUGGAGAGGUAGAAUCGAACGAGGAGUUUAUACAGAAAAAGUUAAACAAAAAUCUAAAUCGGUAACUGAUCUUAUGGUACUCGUACAUAUUGAUCCAGAAUCAGAUGGGGAAUUAUCUAUGGGUACACAAAUGACAGAGAAAACUAUUAAGAAAAGAUUAUCCACCACUGGUAGUGAUAGUGAUCUAACACGUAACAUGAUUGUGGAUGAAUUUGACGAAGCAUUAAGAAAAUUAAGAAAUCCUAUACAAGGUGGUGAUGUAUCUAAUAAAACUAAUAAAUCAAUAAACAAUUUAGAAAAACCAAAACUUCUGACAUUAACUAUGGAUCAGGAACAAACACCGAUCCUAAGGUUAUCAUUGGAUUCUAAAGAAGAUUCUAUUGUUAGUAAUAAUCUUUCUGUUUUAAAUACAAGUGCAGACAGUGUACGUAGCGAAGAACAUAUAUUAAGAUUAUUAUCAAAAGGUGAUCCAAAUCUUCCUCUUCUUCGUUAUGUUCCUGAUUGCAAAUCUUCUUGUGUAGUUUUGGAGGAUAAAAGUGAAACUCAAUCUGAUAACACUACUAUUAAUAAUGAAAAUAAUGAAUCUUGUUUUUCUAACAAUUUCUCAUUUCAAAACCUUGAUACUAAUCAGAAUAAUUUGGUAGACGUUCUUCUUUGGAAUCAUGCGCUUGAUUCAGCAUUGGAACACAAAAUACCAGGAUUUUCAGAUGAAGGUGAAUUUAAGGAAUUCAUAGAACCUACUGUAAAUCAAGAGAAUAAUGCUACUUUGGAACUUUCUAUGUCUACUAAUGUUGCAGAAGAUAAUGAACAAUUUGAUAAAGAAAAUUCUGUCUACAACCUUAAUGAUUUAUCAAAUACUGAAGAUAUAGGAAUCGUUCGUAAAGUUUUGAUUAAUGAAUACGAAGAAAGAAAACAUUUAUCUACACCUGAUGAUGAACAAAGUUCAGAUUCUGGUUUUAGAGACAAAGAAUCUUGCGAAGAGGAAGAAAGUAUGUGUCCACCUUGUGAUCAAACGAGUUCUCAUGACAACACAUCUGUUACACAUGUGCCUACAACUGAAGAUGAACAGCUACAAGUUUUAUUAGAACUCGAUACUAUUUUAGAUGCUGAAUAUUAUUCAGUACUUCCUGAAUCUGAUAAUUCUGUAGUAACGAAUGACACAAACAAUAAAACAAAAUAUGAAAAUUCAAAUAUAACAGAUAUAGAAGGUCAAAAUACCAAUAGUAUUUUAUCAAAUGAAAUUACUACAAACACAUAUGUAGAACAAGAUGAAGAAAUUGGCACUCAAUAUUUAAAUAAGGAUGAUCUUAUGGAAGAUGAAGAUCUAAAACUCACAAGUAAUAUACAAAAUGGUGAUCUUAUAGCAUCUAGUGAUUAUUAUGACGAUACAAAUAGUUAUGUAACCAAAAAUUCCAAAGAAAGCAACAUUUCUUCCCUUGAUACAAAUAUAAGAAGUAAUACUGAUGAAGGUACAGAAAAUUAUAUACAAGAUGAAAAUGGACAUGAAAAUGAGGAGGAAGAUAGCUCAACUAUGAGCAUGUGUAGCGACAACUCUUAUGUAUCUUUUGGCAUGGAAGAAGAAUUUGUCACGGCAAUUAGAAAUGAGCUUAGAGAAAAACUUCCACGUGCACAAAUGCCUAUAGUGGAACCGUCCGAACCACGUGAUGAAGAAAUUUCUUCUAUUACCAGCGAUAUUGAAAAUAAACGUUGGGACGAUGAUGAUAAUGAAGAAUCUCCAGAUCGAAGUACUAGCAGUAUAGAUAUUUCUAUCAGAUAUAAUCUUUAUGGAACACCGUUAAGUCCUAUUUUAGAAGAACGAGAAAGCACCGCAACUUCUGAGUCUUUAUUAUCAAAUUCAAGAGAUGCAUCUAUUGUAUCUAAAGAAUCAGUACCAUCUGAAGAUGUUUUGUUAGUUGAUACUAGAACAAAUAAAAUGAUAUUGUUAGAGGGAUCAAGAGAAAAACAAUUACAAGAUGAUGAUCAUGAUACAACUAAUGGAGACAUUUCUGAAGAAGAAAAUGUUGAAUAUAGUUCAUCAUCGAUGCAUACAUUCGAUGAUAAACCUCAUGCUAUGAUUGCAAUUGGAGGAGCACCAUUACCAAGUCCUGAAGAAGAAACCAAAUGGCAACAAUUACCUUCUUCUUUUCCAUUACCUUUACCUUUACCUUUACAAGAUGAUUUAAUGUCUACAAGUUUUGCUACAGAACGUGAUUGGGAUAGUCAAGACGAUGAUGAAGUAGGAGACGAAGAAGGGGAAGAUGAGGACAACAGCUCUAGCUCAGGUGAAUUUGUUUGGAAGAGAUACAGUGAACCACAUGCGGAACAAUUACAAAUCAGAAGUACUAUGAGCAAUGAAAAAUUAGAAGUAGAACAGAAUGACAAUGCAAAAGAAGAGGUUGUUGAUGCAGAAGACGAAGAAGAAGAAGAAUUUACACCAUCUGCUUGGAAUGCAACAUUAGCACCACAUAGGUCUGCAUUAAGGUCUCCAGAUAAAACAUUAAAAAGCGGAGACGAAUUGGUAGGUGUGUCAAUCAUUUAAACACAGAACAAAGCAUGUCUUUUAAUCUCCUUCUCGUGAUCCUUUCUCUUGCAGAUUUAAUUUGAGGAUCAAAAGAAGAGUGUAUGGUUCAAGAAACAACGCUAUCAUUGUGUAUAUGAGUAUCCAAAAGAAACAUUAGCUAAUGACAUC